RNAcentral lists this unclassified non-coding RNA (1569 nucleotides) under Rhipicephalus microplus (southern cattle tick). RNAcentral describes it as "succinate--CoA ligase [GDP-forming] subunit beta, mitochondrial-like, transcript variant X3". Lineage: Eukaryota; Metazoa; Arthropoda; Arachnida; Ixodida; Ixodidae. The record is from RNAcentral.
UUUUCUCUCCGUCGUCUCAAGGAAACAUGGAGGUUGUACGAUUGUCACGUGCGUUGCGCAUAGGUCGACUUUGGACGAAACAGGCAUGCUUAGCACCUCCGUCGUCAAGAUGUUUAAACCUGCACGAAUACCAAAGCAAACAGCUAAUGGCUGACAAUGGUAUUAAUGUCCAGAGGUUUAAAGUCGCCGACAAAGUGUCUGAAGCACAAGAGAUUGCUCGAACACUUGAUGUUGCAGAAUUUGUCAUCAAGGCACAAAUACUUGCUGGUGGCAGAGGAAAAGGGACGUUCAGCAGCGGCCUUCGGGGUGGAGUGAAGCUUACCAAGGACCCAGCCCAAGUGCCAGAGCUUGUGGAGAAGAUGCUUGGCUAUAAGUUGGUCACAAAGCAGACACCAAAAGAUGGCGUCCUGGUGAACAAGGUGAUGAUUGCUGAGGCUCUGGACAUAGCAAGGGAGACUUACCUGGCCAUCCUAAUGGACCGCUCGUACAACGGUCCUGUAGUGGUGGCCAGUCCAGCUGGUGGCGUGGACAUUGAAGAUGUUGCCGAGAAGACGCCACACCUGAUCUUUAAGGAGCCAGUCAGCAUCUUGGAGGGCAUCACUAGCACACAAGCACAGAACAUUGCCAAAAACCUCAACUUCAAGGGGCCACUAUUAGAUAAGGCAGCCGAACAGAUAGAGAGGUUGUACAACUUAUUUCUCAAAGUUGAUGCCACUCAGGUUGAAGUGAACCCAUUUGGAGAAACACCAGACGGAAGAGUUGUGUGCUUUGAUGCGAAGAUAAACUUCGAUGACAAUGCGGCCUUCAGACAGCAAGCUAUUUUUGCUCAGGAAGACACAUCUGAGAGUGAUCCUCGAGAGGUGCUCGCAACCAAGCACCACCUCAACUACAUUGGCAUGGAUGGAAAUAUUGCCUGCUUAGUCAAUGGUGCAGGCCUGGCCAUGGCCACCAUGGACAUUAUCCAGCUUUAUGGCGGUACACCAGCCAACUUCUUGGAUGUUGGUGGCUCAGUCAAAGAAGACCAAGUCACAGAAGCCUUCAAGAUAAUUACCGAUGAUCCAAAGGUCAAAGCUGUCCUUGUGAACAUCUUUGGAGGCAUUGUCAACUGUGCUACCAUUGCAAACGGAAUCACGAGUGCAUGCCGCUCAAUAAACCUCACUGUUCCUCUUGUGGUGAGGCUGGAAGGAACCAAUGUUGAAGAGGCAAGGAGCAUUUUGAGCUCCAGUGGAUUGCCCAUCACCACCGCUGCAGACUUGGAUGAUGCAGCGCAGAAAGCUGUAGCCAGCCUCAAAGGUUGAUUCACAGGUGCCUUCACUAGCCAAGGAGCCAAAUGCUUGGAGAAAGCAGUGCCACUCGGGCACAGAGAGUGCGCAAGAAGGCAAAGCUAGUUUAACAAACUUCUUUUCUGUAAACCUGCCGGCAAUUCUGCGCCGUAUGUACAGUUCAGUCCACAGUUAAAGGGAACACUCAAGUGAAAUCUGGACAUGGUGAACACGAAAGUGUUCCCUUAAACAGUGGACCCAUCUGUACAUAUGCGUAAAUAAAGUUUUGCUAUUAAUUUUGAACCCC